ACUAAUUUGGCAGAUAUAUAAGUGCAAUAAAUUUAGGAUUUAUUUAUAUUGUUUAAUACAUUAAUUAGUA
RNAcentral lists this transfer RNA (70 nucleotides) under Micadina brachyptera. Its description in RNAcentral is "tRNA-Leu". The record is from RNAcentral. Lineage: Eukaryota; Metazoa; Arthropoda; Insecta; Phasmatodea; Lonchodidae.